RNAcentral lists this ribosomal RNA (253 nucleotides) under uncultured bacterium. Its description in RNAcentral is "partial 16S ribosomal RNA". It matches the Rfam family "Bacterial small subunit ribosomal RNA", at positions 524 to 776 of the family's 1533-position model. The record is from RNAcentral.
UACGGAGGAUGCAAGCGUUAUCCGGAUUCAUUGGGUUUAAAGGGUGCGCAGGCGGAAUGAUAAGUCAGUGGUGAAAUCCUACGGCUCAACUGUAGAACUGCCAUUGAUACUGUUAUUCUUGAGUACACUUGAAGUGGGCGGAAUGUGUCAUGUAGCGGUGAAAUGCUUAGAUAUGACACAGAACACCGAUCGCGAAGGCAGCUCACUAAAUUGUAACUGACGCUCAUGCACGAAAGCGUGGGGAUCAAACAGG